This 497-nucleotide ribosomal RNA is filed under the name uncultured bacterium. Its description in RNAcentral is "partial 16S ribosomal RNA". It matches the Rfam family "Bacterial small subunit ribosomal RNA", at positions 30 to 523 of the family's 1533-position model. The record is from RNAcentral.
AUUGAACGCUGGCGGUAUGCUUAACACAUGCAAGUCGAACGGUAGCAGGCCUUCGGGCGCUGACGAGUGGCGGACGGGUGAGUAACGCGUAGGAAUCUGCCUAGUAGUGGGGGACAACUUAUGGAAACGUAAGCUAAUACCGCAUACGCCCUACGGGGGAAAGCGGGGGAUCUUCGGACCUCGCGCUAUUAGAUGAGCCUGCGUUGGAUUAGCUAGUUGGUGGGGUAAAGGCCUACCAAGGCGACGAUCCAUAGCUGGUCUGAGAGGACGAUCAGCCACACUGGGACUGAGACACGGCCCAGACUCCUACGGGAGGCAGCAGUGGGGAAUAUUGGACAAUGGGCGAAAGCCUGAUCCAGCAAUACCGCGUGUGUGAAGAAGGCCUGAGGGUUGUAAAGCACUUUCAAUAGGAAGGAAUACCUAUCGGCUAAUACCCGGUAGACUGACAUUACCUAUACAAGAAGCACCAGCUAACUCCGUGCCAGCCGCCGCUGUAA